Xiphophorus hellerii (green swordtail) is the source of this 2042-nucleotide RNA transcript. It is a transcript of the gene named F-box only protein 6-like, with no coding region annotated. The transcript has 8 exons. NCBI's taxonomy places the organism in Eukaryota, Metazoa, Chordata, Actinopteri, Cyprinodontiformes, Poeciliidae. The record is from RefSeq and is a predicted model, not a curated record.
UCGCGCACGGCAAAAUCGAGUGCAGGCUGGCUUUACUGUCUUUUCCGAAGAGGCGGCUAUCUGUACCCGUGUAGGUUAGGGCCACUGACAUAAAAAAAAGUUAUGGAACACUUUUAGUAUUCAAGAUGCUGCGCAUGAACCGACUAAUAGCUUACGAGAGAACGGAAAACUUAUUGGUAGGGAAAAUUAAAGUAAGCAUGCAGAAACCUGCGUCGUAUCUCAAAAGAAAAAAAACAAACACUUCCCUAGGCGGGGCUCCCUAGUUCCGUCCUACCGCAUGAAGCUCAUAUCGAAACUGAUCAAAUCCCAGAAUACAGCUGAGGAGUUGUCUGGAAAAUGGGUCCGCUGCUCAUUCAUUACAGACAGACAGCUCUGUAGAAACACAUCAGGCUCGGAUUUAUCUCAGACAUGAAGAGGACGCAUUCAGUCAUGAUGGGAACUGCAUGCAGCGACUCUUCACCUUCGCCGAAUCAGAGUUCUAGUGAACCUGUCAUCCCUCUUCCUUUGGACAUAUUGGAGGAAAUCUUCCUAAAUCUGCCCCCCCAACACGUGGUGUGUGUGUGUCGAUUAGUGUGCCGCCAGUGGAAAGAUGUGGCCGACAGCGAGUCUUUUUGGAGAGAAAGAUGUAGAAGAGAGGGAUAUCAACUCCGUGAUCCUUCCAAAGUACCCAGCAGCUGGAGGUUGUUUUACUUCUUGUGCAAGAAGAGGAGAAAUCUCAUAAAGAAUCCAAGAGCAGAAGAUGAAUUUCAGGGUUGGAGAAUCCUGAAGAACGGUGGAGAUAAGUGGAAAAUAGAGGGAUCUAUGGUAAAACAUUCAAAUCCAGCAGUCCAGAAAAAUUUUGUCACCUCUUAUGGUUGGUGCACAAAAGAGCAGGUGAUUAAUUUGAUGGAAGAAGGUUACAACCCAUCAUUUAUGGAUGAGUUCCAGCCACACAUCCGGAUAUCUGACUGGUAUGCACCCCGCUGGGAUUGUGGAAGCAUCUAUAAGAUUUGUGUGCAGUUACUAAAUCACAAGCAAGACAUUCUCCAGGAAUUUCGUCCUGAGCCCAUUUCCUUUCCUCAGUGGAAUGAUCAGCAGUGGAAUCAAAUGGUGCAUGUCUUCAAGGACUAUGGACCAGGAGUGAGAUAUGUCCGUUUUAUUCAUGGUGGCAAAGACACAAAGUGGUGGGCUGGAUGGUUUGGCAUUCGUGUAACAGAAAGCUGUGUUGAAGUUUGUCCAGCAUUGGACAACUAGCUUAUUGAUGCAACUAUGUUAGGAAGACCACUUAGAUCUAAAAUCAACCAAGGAUUGCUUUUACUUGUUUGUAGAUUUCUACAUCUGUUACUCUAGAACUAGACACACUGACGUACUGCUGAACUAUGUCAACUUACUUAAUCAAAAUCCAUUAGUCAAUUAAACAAUCCUGCCUCACUUACUAACACAAACAAUGCAAUAUAAAUAGUUGCAAUUGCUUCAAAACGGUUUAAAUGUAUGUAUCUUACCUGUUCUGGAAGACAACACCACUGCCUUUAUUCCUCUUCUAGGCUAAUUUGCACAUUUAUUUUCUACCAACUGCUAUGUCUUAAAUACAACCAUCAGCUUUUGCUGAGAUGUUAGCUGAAUAUGUAUUCUCGUUAUGAUGCCUUUAUGUAUGUGGUAUUACGAUUUAAGAGAAAUGUCAAACUUUGCACUUUCUAUAAAUGCAUAUUCUUGAUUUGCAAAUAACAGCCUCAUUUUUAUGCAGCUGUCAAAGUGACGUCCCUUUAAACAUACGUAAUGUUAAUACUGCAAUUUGAAGUUAUGUAUUUAUUGUUGAAGUAUUUGUCUUUGGACAGUCAUGAAUAUUUUUACUACAUGUCCUUGUUAAAUGUGGCCCAAGUUCACACUUGAUCAAAAGAGCAAGUUUGCAUGUCACUGCAAUGUUAAAUAGAUAUUACUUUUGAAACCUACUUGUGUGUAAAGGAUUCAUAAUCACAUUUUUUGUGGCAGCAUCAUAUGACAAUAUGAUCAAGCAGAGUGUUCAUAAAAUCUUCCGAUUCAAUAAAAGGUUUUGCUAUAUUGAA